ACGGAACGAAAAGGUCUCUCCUAAUACGAGAGGCUCAUGACGGUACCGUAAGAAUAAGCACCGGCUAACUACGUGCCAGCAGCCGCGGUAAUACGUAGGGUGCAAGCGUUAAUCGGAAUUACUGGGCGUAAAGCGUGCGCAGGCGGUUAUAUAAGACAGAUGUGAAAUCCCCGGGCUCAACCUGGGAACUGCAUUUGUGACUGUAUAGCUAGAGUACGGUAGAGGGGGAUGGAAUUCCGCGUGUAGCAGUGAAAUGCGUAGAUAUGCGGAGGAACACCGAUGGCGAAGGCAAUCCCCUGGACCUGUACUGACGCUCAUGCACGAAAGCGUGGGGAGCAAACAGGAUUAGAUACCCUGGUAGUCCACGCCCUAAACGAUGUCAACUGGUUGUUGGGACUUCACUGACUCA
RNAcentral lists this ribosomal RNA (409 nucleotides) under Comamonadaceae bacterium. Its description in RNAcentral is "bacterial SSU rRNA". It matches the Rfam family "Bacterial small subunit ribosomal RNA", at positions 440 to 842 of the family's 1533-position model. The record is from RNAcentral. Lineage: Bacteria; Pseudomonadati; Pseudomonadota; Betaproteobacteria; Burkholderiales; Comamonadaceae.